AUCCAUGGUGUGGGCAUUGUAGUAAGAGUGAUUUGAAGCGGUCUCAUGCUUCGUGAAAGGAUUCAGUAUCCUUUUAAUAAAAAUUAGAAAUCUUAGCCCUUAAUGCU
Molecule: small nucleolar RNA, 107 nt
Filed under: Ricinus communis (castor bean)
Lineage: Eukaryota; Viridiplantae; Streptophyta; Magnoliopsida; Malpighiales; Euphorbiaceae
Description: Plant small nucleolar RNA R71
Rfam family: Plant small nucleolar RNA R71
About the family: R71 is a member of the C/D box family of snoRNAs containing the C (UGAUGA) and D (CUGA) box motifs.
Source: Rfam by way of RNAcentral